CCAGCGCUUCUCCCAGGGUGAGCCCUCAUCCAGCUGUGUCCAGAAUGAGGAGCAGAUGGAAGGAAUUGGGGAGAAAAGUGAAGGUUCUUAUUUUUUGAACAGGGUCUUACUCUGUCACCCAGGCUGGAGUGCAGUGGCACGAUCCUAGCUCACUGCACCAAGAACACCUGGGCUCAAGCGAUCUUCCCACCCUAGCCUCCUGAGUCACUAGGACUACAGGUGCACACCACCAUGCCCAGCUAACUUUUUAAAAUUUUUGUAGAGACAGGGCCUCCCUAUGUUGCCCAAGCGAAUCUCGAAUUCCUGGCCUUAGCCAUCUUCCCUGGGAGACCCUGGAUCCAGAGCUUGGGGGUGACAUCGGCCUCCUCCUGCCAUGAGGAUCAAGAUAGGCAGCAAUGGCCAAGGGCACAGUCUGGCGGGCCAUAGCCCUGUGCCACCCACCGCGGGUGUGCAGCGGUGCAGAAGCAGAUGCGUCUGUCUCAGCGAGUUCUCCCCAGGAGUCGUUCAUGCCCACCAAGGGGCACAUGCUGGUGGUGCGCCUGCCACUGAAGCACCUGCACGCCUUUGCCGACAGCCUGAAGCCAGAGCAGGUCUCACCUUUCGUCCACUCCCACACCACCAGCCCGCUGGGGGAGUUCAAACAGUGGGUGGCCCUUGCGGCUUCCAGCCGC
RNAcentral lists this long non-coding RNA (671 nucleotides) under Homo sapiens (human). RNAcentral describes it as "non-protein coding lnc-PI4KA-3:4". Lineage: Eukaryota; Metazoa; Chordata; Mammalia; Primates; Hominidae. The record is from RNAcentral.